Molecule: non-coding RNA, 54 nt
Organism: Salmo salar (Atlantic salmon)
Lineage: Eukaryota; Metazoa; Chordata; Actinopteri; Salmoniformes; Salmonidae
Source: Rfam
AAUGCACCAAUUUCCAAGUCGCUCUGGAUAAGAGCGUCUGCUAAAUUACGUAAA